ACAGAGAUAGUUUAGCAGUUAAGAGCACUUGUUUCUCUCACAGAAAACCUGGGUUCGAUUCCUAGUAUCUGCA
RNAcentral lists this transfer RNA (73 nucleotides) under Mus musculus (house mouse). It matches the Rfam family "tRNA". Rfam says of the family: Transfer RNA (tRNA) molecules are approximately 80 nucleotides in length. Their secondary structure includes four short double-helical elements and three loops (D, anti-codon, and T loops). RNAcentral also lists the same sequence under 1 other name. Lineage: Eukaryota; Metazoa; Chordata; Mammalia; Rodentia; Muridae. The record is from Rfam by way of RNAcentral.